AUGGGAAGCAGUGAAGCAGAGACACCUGCUAAGGCAAACAAGGCAUCCGCACCUCAGGAGCAGCAGCCACCUGCUACUUCGAGUACUGCAACACCGACAGUUUACCCAGAUUGGACCAGCUUUCAGGGAUAUCCUCCAAUUCCACCACAUGGGUUCUUUCCCUCUCCUGUGGUGUCAAACCCACAGGGUCAUCCAUACAUGUGGGGACCUCAGCCUAUGAUGCCACCAUAUGGGACUCCACCAUAUGUCAUAUACCCUCCUGGAGGAAUUUAUGCUCACCCAUCAAUGCGACCGGGUGCACACCCAUUUGCUCCCUAUACUAUGACUUCUCCAAACGGCAAUCCUGAUGCUGCUGGAACUACCAUCACUGCUGCUACUGCUGGUGGUGAAACAAAUGGCAAAUCCUCUGAAGGAAAAGAAAAAAGUCCCAUUAAAAGAUCCAAAGGAAGUUUGGGUAGCUUGAACAUGAUUACAGGGAAAAACUGUGUCGAACAUGGUAAGACCUCAGGGGCAUCAGCCAAUGGAACCAUCUCUCAAAGUGGGGAAAGUGGAAGUGAAAGUUCAAGUGAGGGAAGUGAAGCGAAUUCUCAGAAUGAUUCACAACACAAGGAAAGUGGACAAGAACAAGAUGGAGAUGUCCGAAGUUCCCAGAAUGGUGUAUCACCUUCACCAUCCCAGGCGCAGUUGAAGCAAACUUUGGCAAUUAUGCAAAUGCCAUCAAGUGGUCCAGUGCCUGGCCCAACAACAAACUUGAACAUAGGAAUGGACUACUGGGCAAAUACAGCCAGCUCCUCUCCUGCAUUGCAUGGUAAAGUGACCCCAACUGCAAUUCCAGGGGCUGUGGCCCCAACAGAGCCGUGGAUGCAGGAUGAACGUGAACUGAAAAGGCAGAAAAGAAAGCAGUCAAACAGGGAUUCUGCUCGCAGAUCUAGGCUGCGCAAGCAGGCUGAAUGUGAGGAGUUGGCUCAGCGCGCUGAAGUAUUGAAACAGGAAAAUGCUUCACUUAAAGAUGAAGUGAGCCGGAUCAGAAAGGAGUAUGAUGAACUUCUGUCAAAGAAUAGCUCACUUAAGGAUAAUGUUGGAGACAAACAACACAAAACUGAUGAGGCAGGACUUGACAAUAAGCUGCAACAUUCUGGUGAUGACAGCCAGAAGGACACUAAUUGA
RNAcentral lists this ribosomal RNA (1167 nucleotides) under Triticum aestivum (bread wheat). Its description in RNAcentral is "partial small subunit ribosomal RNA". The record is from RNAcentral. Lineage: Eukaryota; Viridiplantae; Streptophyta; Magnoliopsida; Poales; Poaceae.